Molecule: long non-coding RNA, 172 nt
Organism: Rosa chinensis
Lineage: Eukaryota; Viridiplantae; Streptophyta; Magnoliopsida; Rosales; Rosaceae
Exons: 3
Source: RefSeq, a predicted model, not a curated record
AUAGUCAAAAGAGAGGACAAAGAAUGCUUAAUGAUCAGAAUCUGACUAUUCCUAACAUGACCAUGGAUUGGAGAAGAAAAUCAAAAAGGUGGAGAGAAGCAUCUGAGACAUUGAUCAUCAAAGACAAUCAGAUUUUUGACAGCAAUGAUCAAAAUGGAUGUCAACAAACAGU